This 425-nucleotide ribosomal RNA is filed under the name uncultured bacterium. RNAcentral describes it as "bacterial SSU rRNA". It matches the Rfam family "Bacterial small subunit ribosomal RNA", at positions 335 to 748 of the family's 1533-position model. The record is from RNAcentral.
ACUCCUACGGGAGGCAGCAGUGGGGAAUAUUGCACAAUGGGCGAAAGCCUGAUGCAGCCAUGCCGCGUGUGUGAAGAAGGCCUUCGGGUUGUAAAGCACUUUCAGCGAGGAGGAAAGGUUGACGGUUAAUACCCGUCAGCUGUGACGUUACUCGCAGAAGAAGCACCGGCUAACUCCGUGCCAGCAGCCGCGGUAAAUACGGAGGGUGCGAGCGUUAAUCGGAAUUACUGGGCGUAAAGCGCAUGCAGGCGGCCAAGUCAGUCAGAUGUGAAAGCCCCGGGCUUAACCUGGGAAUUGCAUUUGAAACUGCUUGGACUAGAGUCCUUGAGAGGGGGGUAGAAUUUCAGGUGUAGCGGUGAAAUGCGUAGAGAUCUAGAAGGAAUACCAGUGGCGAAGGCGGACCCCCUGGCAAGAGACUGACGCUC